UGGUGUUGAUUGCGGAGAGGGUCCACCCGUUCUCAUUCCGAACACGGUAGUUAAGCUCUUUCGCGCCGACAAUACUUGGCUGGCGACGGCCCGGGAAAAUAGGUAAUGCC
RNAcentral lists this ribosomal RNA (110 nucleotides) under bovine gut metagenome. The record is from RNAcentral. RNAcentral also lists the same sequence under 1 other name.